This 497-nucleotide ribosomal RNA is filed under the name uncultured bacterium. RNAcentral describes it as "partial 16S ribosomal RNA". It matches the Rfam family "Bacterial small subunit ribosomal RNA", at positions 28 to 507 of the family's 1533-position model. The record is from RNAcentral.
GAUGAACGCUGGCGGCGUGCCUAAUACAUGCAAGUCGAGCGAACAGACGAGGAGCUUGCUCCUCUGACGUUAGCGGCGGACGGGUGAGUAACACGUGGAUAACCUACCUAUAAGACUGGGAUAACUUCGGGAAACCGGAGCUAAUACCGGAUAACAUGUUGAACCGCAUGGUUCAACAGUGAAAUACGGUCUUGCUGUCACUUAUAGAUUGAUCCGCGCCGCAUUAGCUAGUUGGUAAGGUAACGGCUUACCAAGGCAACGAUGAGUAGCCGACCUGAGAGGGUGAUCGGCCAAACUGGAACUGAGACACGGUCCAGACUCCUAAGGGAGGCAGCAGUAGGGAAUCUUACGCAAUGGGCGAAAGCCUGACGGAGCAACGCCGCGUGAGUGAUGAAGGUCUUCGGAUCGUAAAACUCUGUUAUUAGGGAAGAACAAAUGUGUAAGUAAAUAUGCACGUCUUGACGGUACCUAAUCAGAAAGCCACGGCUAACUACGUG